This 494-nucleotide ribosomal RNA is filed under the name uncultured bacterium. RNAcentral describes it as "partial 16S ribosomal RNA". It matches the Rfam family "Bacterial small subunit ribosomal RNA", at positions 28 to 507 of the family's 1533-position model. The record is from RNAcentral.
GACGAACGCUGGCGGCGUGCUUAACACAUGCAAGUCGAACGGAAAGGCCUGCUUUCCCUUGUGGAUUGCGGGUACUCGAGUGGCGAACGGGUGAGUAACACGUGAGUGAUCUGCCCCCAACUUGGGUAUAAGCCUGGGAAACUGGGUCUAAUUCCCGAUAGGACUGCAGGGUGGUGCCUGUGGUGGAAAACGAUUUUCUAGUGGUUGGGGAUGAGCUCGCGGCCUAUCAGCUUGUUGGUGGGGUAAUGGCCUACCAAGGCGGCGACGGGUAGCCGGCCUGGGAGGGUGGACGGCCACAUUGGGACUGAGAUACGGCCCAGACUCCUACGGGAGGCAGCAGUGGGGAAUAUUGCACAAUGGGCGGAAGCCUGAUGCAGCGACGCCGCGUGGGGGAUGACGGCCUUCGGGUUGUAAACUCCUUUCGACCGCGAGGAAGCCACCUGGUUGGAAGGGUGGUGACGGUAGUGGUAGAAGAGGCACCGGCUAACUACGUG